RNAcentral lists this ribosomal RNA (459 nucleotides) under Triticum aestivum (bread wheat). Its description in RNAcentral is "partial small subunit ribosomal RNA". The record is from RNAcentral. Lineage: Eukaryota; Viridiplantae; Streptophyta; Magnoliopsida; Poales; Poaceae.
AUGAUCGCUGAUUUGCUAGACAACAGAAUUGAGGAAGUUGGGAAAGAUAAUGCCGUGCAAGUUGUCACCGACAAUGGUGCUAACUACAAGGCAGCUGGCCACCUUUUAGAGUCGAGGAUCUCUGCACUAUAUUGGAGUCCUUGUGCAUGCCAUUGCUUGGAUCUAAUGCUUGAACACAUAGGGAAGUUGAAGGCAUUCAAGAAACCUAUUGCACAGGCUAGAGGUGUCACAACUUUCAUCUAUAGUCAUGGGAGAAUUCUUAGUCUAAUGAGGAAGGCGACGAAUGGGAUAGAUCUUGUGAGACCAGCAGGCAGCAGCCACUUGUUUCGCCACAGCCUUCCUUCACUAAAGAGUUUGGUCAAGCACAAGGCAGCUUUGACGAGUAUAUUUUACAUGUGCAGCAUGGGUUGGAAGCAAAGUGGCAAAAACACAAGCUGGCUUGAUUGUGCUUUCAGCUGA